UGCGUAGGCGGCUUUUUAAGUUUUGUUGUGAAAUCUCCCGGCUCAACCGGGAGGGUGCGGCGAAUACUGAGAAGCUAGAGUGUGGGAGAGGAAAGUGGAAUUCCUGGUGUAGCGGUGAAAUGCGUAGAUAUCAGGAGGAACACCGGUGGUGUAAACGGCUUUCUGGACCAUAACUGACGCUGAGGCACGAAAGCGUGGGUAGCAAACA
RNAcentral lists this ribosomal RNA (208 nucleotides) under uncultured bacterium. Its description in RNAcentral is "partial 16S ribosomal RNA". It matches the Rfam family "Bacterial small subunit ribosomal RNA", at positions 568 to 774 of the family's 1533-position model. The record is from RNAcentral.